This 503-nucleotide ribosomal RNA is filed under the name uncultured bacterium. RNAcentral's name for it is "partial 16S ribosomal RNA". It matches the Rfam family "Bacterial small subunit ribosomal RNA", at positions 30 to 523 of the family's 1533-position model. The record is from RNAcentral.
AUUGAACGCUGGCGGCAGGCUUAACACAUGCAAGUCGAGCGGGGUGAUGGCGCUUGCACUAUCACUUAGCGGCGGACGGGUGAGUAAUGCUUAGGAAUCUGCCUAUUAGUGGGGGACAACAUCUCGAAAGGGAUGCUAAUACCGCAUACGUCCUACGGGAGAAAGCAGGGGAUCACUUGUGACCUUGCGCUAAUAGAUGAGCCUAAGUCGGAUUAGCUAGUUGGUGGGGUAAAGGCCUACCAAGGCGACGAUCUGUAGCGGGUCUGGGAGGAUGAUCCGCGACCCUGGGACUGAUACACAGCCCGGACUCCUACGGGAGGCAGCAGUGGGGAAUAUUGGAAAAUGGGGGGAGCCCUGAUCCAGCCAUGCCGCGUGUGUGAAGAGGGCCUUAUUGUUGUAGAGCGCUUUAAGCGAGGAGGAGGCUCUUUUGGUUAAUACCCAAGAUGAGUGGACGGUACUCGCAGAAUAAGCACCGGCUAACUCUGUGCCAGCCGCCGCCGUAA